AUGUUGAGCGUAUCGACAUUGAUCGACUAUGUCUACUCAAACCUCCGGACAUGCACACACAUCGUCAAGCUCGCCACGAACUGCGAGCACUGCAAGCACUGCAAGGCCAAGAGGUUUGAGUCUGAGGCCCCGGGAUUCUACUGUCGCAAUGGGCAAAUCGAGCUGAAGGAACCGGAGCCCAUCCCGAAGCUAAUGAGGCUUUGGUCCAGCACGGAUGCGGAAUUUAGGCAUUUUCGGGAGAACAUACGGUUCUUCAACGGCCACUCUUCGUUCACAACCCUCGGCGUCAACCUUGAUGAAAACUAUGAAGGAAAUAUGCCCUAG
Molecule: ribosomal RNA, 324 nt
Filed under: Triticum aestivum (bread wheat)
Lineage: Eukaryota; Viridiplantae; Streptophyta; Magnoliopsida; Poales; Poaceae
Description: partial small subunit ribosomal RNA
Source: RNAcentral